Molecule: non-coding RNA, 116 nt
Organism: Octopus bimaculoides (California two-spot octopus)
Lineage: Eukaryota; Metazoa; Mollusca; Cephalopoda; Octopoda; Octopodidae
Source: Rfam
UAUAUGUAUUAAGAGAGUGGCGGUUAGCACUCCCCUUUACAGGGAUAGAAGAGAUCAUUUGAACUUUCUAAUAUUCAUGGGCAUUACUUUCUACUUCAGAACAAUCUAUUCUUUAU